CAUCCCCAUGCCAAACAGUGCUUCCGACUGAACACCCCCGGAACAAGAGGAACGGGACAGCUGUGUUGCUAUGACGAUAAUGGAAGCAUCAUGAAUAUGCUGACCUCGUCCGGUGGUGGAUCACUACAACGUUAUCACUACUUCGGUGAUACAGAUGACGCAGUUCCGUAUCUGUCAAACAUUGUUUAUGAUACGGCCCCCUACUACCAUUGUUGUGCGUAUCCUCACCUUUUUCAGUCGGAUGUUCCGAGUGAGUGUUACAGAUUUCAUCAGAGACGUACGCCUGGAAACUGCAAUGAGUAUGUCCCAAAUACGCCAGCACAAAACUUUGGCGAUCCCCAUUUUGUGACACCGGAUGGUCUGUCUUACACAUUCAAUGGAGUAGGGGAGUUCACAUUAUUUAAAACGAAAACCAACACUUUCAUAGCUCAGGUCAGGAUGCAGUCUCUUGGUACCAC
Long non-coding RNA from Mizuhopecten yessoensis (Yesso scallop), 458 nucleotides. RefSeq lists it as uncharacterized. The transcript has 3 exons. The record is from RefSeq and is a predicted model, not a curated record. NCBI's taxonomy places the organism in Eukaryota, Metazoa, Mollusca, Bivalvia, Pectinida, Pectinidae.